This is a long non-coding RNA of Erigeron canadensis, 1030 nucleotides long. RefSeq lists it as uncharacterized. NCBI's taxonomy places the organism in Eukaryota, Viridiplantae, Streptophyta, Magnoliopsida, Asterales, Asteraceae. The transcript has 2 exons. The record is from RefSeq and is a predicted model, not a curated record.
AGUAAUUUUCAUAACCUACAGAGAUACUACGCUUUGCAUUACCUACAGAUACUACGCUAUACUACGCUUUGAAUUAUCUACAGAUACUACGCGUUGAAUUAAUCUUCUUUGUCUAGUUUCAUUUGCCUCUAUAACUGAUUCCUACUUUCCUAGUCCCCAUAAGAACUGAACGCCACAACUUCCAUAUAAUGACAAUUGAUGACAUUAUAAUAGUUCCGACCUGCUAGGGAUCUUUUAACACCUUCACUCUUUUUUACACUUAUAUUGUGUCAGUGUGUAAAGUGUGAACAUUUCUGAAUCUUGGUCGAUUUUGUGGCUUUCUCUGACCAAAUCCACCUAUGAACAUGUCACUUCACAUUUAUGAGAGCCAAUGGGGGUUACUAUCUAGUAUGACAAUUUCAAUGUCUCUUACAUAUUCUUUCCUUUAUUCAAGUUGUUGAUCCAUAACAGUAAUAUCUAGUCAAAGUUCUUCUCUUAAUAGUUAAACAGUAUCAACAAAACUGUGUCUAGGUUGGAAACUUCAAAAAGUUUUGUGAGGCCAAUGUGAGCAGUGGGAAAUUAUCUUUUCCGAACCUCCCUUUCCUCUGUUAAAGAUCUGUUAGAGCUGGCAAGUUAAAGUAGUUAACAGAGGAUAACAUUGUCUAGAAGGUGUUGUCGCAGUGUGUUCUUUUGAGUUAGGGGGGAGUGCAUUUGUUUUUUAUGUUGCAGUCUACCAAGAGAUUUUCAGCAAGGGAUGCAUGUGAAUAAGGCUCGAAAUACUUAUGAUAGGAGUUGAUCUUACCCUGACCUCUGAAACUGGGCUUGUCAACUGUUGUUCCUCUUUUGCUUUGUGGUAUCGAUCAAUCACCGACUUCAUGCUGUUAAGAGUGGCACAAAUUUUGUUUAGUUUUAGAUACAGUUUAGUCAGAGCAGGGAUAAAUACUUGCGCGAACAACUAUUGUCAUGGAGAAAGACUUUGAUUAUAUCCCGAAAACAUUGAAAAUUACUUUAUUUGACUAAUGUAUGCCUUAUGCCAUGUUUUUCAUUCUAA